RNAcentral lists this ribosomal RNA (561 nucleotides) under uncultured archaeon. RNAcentral's name for it is "bacterial SSU rRNA". It matches the Rfam family "Archaeal small subunit ribosomal RNA", at positions 333 to 899 of the family's 1478-position model. The record is from RNAcentral.
CAGCAGGCGCGAAAACUUUACAAUGCCGGCAACGGCGAUAAGGGAACCUCGAGUGCCAGGUUACAAAUCUGGCUGUCGUGAUGCCUAAAAAGCAUUGCAUAGCAAGGGCCGGGCAAGACCGGUGCCAGCCGCCGCGGUAACACCGGCGGCCCGAGUGGUAACCGUUAUUAUUGGGUCUAAAGGGUCUGUAGCCGGCCGGGUAAGUCUCUUGGGAAAUCUGGCAGCUUAACUGUCAGGCUUUCAGGAGAUACUGCCUGGCUCGAGGCCGGGAGAGGUGAGAGGUACUUCAGGGGUAGGGGUGAAAUCUUGUAAUCCUUGAAGGACCACCAGUGGCGAAGGCGUCUCACCAGAACGGACCUGACGGCAAGGGACGAAAGCUAGGGGCACGAACCGGAUUAGAUACCCGGGUAGUCCUAGCCGUAAACGAUACUCGCUAGGUGUCGGCCACGGUGCGACCGUGGUCGGUGCCGUAGGGAAGCCGUGAAGCGAGCCACCUGGGAAGUACGGCCGCAAGGCUGAAACUUAAAGGAAUUGGCGGGGGAGCACAAGGGCGAAUUCGCG